AGUGAACGCUGGCGGCGUGCUUAACACAUGCAAGUCGAACGAGAACGGGUUAUAGCUUGCUAUAAUUGUCAGCUAAGUGGCGCACGGGUGAGUAAUGUAUAGGUAAUAUGCCUCUUACUAAGGGAUAACAAAUGGAAACGUUUGCUAAUACCUUAUACUCCUUACUAACAGAAGUUAAUAAGGGAAAGAUUUAUUGGUAAGAGAUUAGCCUGUAUUGUAUCAGUUAGUUGGUGGGGUAAUGGCCUACCAAGACUAUGACACAUAACUGGUUUGAGAGGAUGAUCAGUCACACUGGAACUGAGACACGGUCCAGACUCCUACGGGAGGCAGCAGUGGGGGAUAUUGCACAAUGGACGAAAGUCUGAUGCAGCAACGCCGCGUGGAGGAUGACACAUUUCGGUGCGUAAACUCCUUUUAUAUGAGAAGAUAAUGACGGUAUUAUAUGAAUAAGCACCGGCUAACUCCGUGCCAGCAGCCGCAGUAA
Molecule: ribosomal RNA, 484 nt
Filed under: uncultured bacterium
Lineage: Bacteria
Description: partial 16S ribosomal RNA
Rfam family: Bacterial small subunit ribosomal RNA
Source: RNAcentral